This is a long non-coding RNA of Paramormyrops kingsleyae, 1317 nucleotides long. RefSeq lists it as uncharacterized. The record is from RefSeq and is a predicted model, not a curated record. NCBI's taxonomy places the organism in Eukaryota, Metazoa, Chordata, Actinopteri, Osteoglossiformes, Mormyridae.
GAAAAAAAGCCUCAUAAGCGCAUGCGGUCUGGCUUUUGUGCAAAUCAGACUGAAGAAAUGUGAAAAAAAAUAUGUGAUGCAAAGUAAUUGCUUUUAAAAAAAAAUAUAGGAUCUAAGGUAGUGCAGUAACAGUAGUUGCGCAGUGUACAUUUUGAGGGGAUUAUAUAAAUAUGAGUUCUUGUCAAAUGGAUCGGGAUUGUGGAAAAGGGCUGAUAUAGACCUACUAGCGCAGCAAUACUCUGUGACCCAUAUUCAGAAACCCCCUCCGCUCUUUGUUCUUUAUGUGUGUAAACUUGUUAUCACAAUGCUUUUCAACCUUAAUACAUUUAGCGAAUAAAACAGUCGCUGAAAUUCACGAAAAGCUUUUGAACAGUUUGACAUAUUGUAGUUUAUGUUCUUAGACUUAAUAACGAUUUUUUUAAAUGUUUCAAUGCCGAGAUAAUUUGUUAGUGACCGCCUGGAUACACGUUGGCAUUAAAUCUGCGGAAUCUGAAUUUUUCGAGGGAUUUAUAAGGAACACAGUGAAAUCACAACAAAUCCUAUAGGUAUUUAUACAAGGAAAACGACACGAAAAGAAUUCGUGACAGUUUCAAUUAUUGCACAUGGGCCUACAACGAGACGAGUUUACGUACCAUUUAUACAGUAUGAAUCCUUAAAGUGUGAAAAAAUGGUUUAUAAAAAAUGAAGAGAAAAGCACUAUGCACUAUCAAUACCAACAGGAGCCCAAAUCCAUCACAACUGCUGACAGAGGGCCGUACCUAGCCACUGUGGCUCCCUAGGCAAGCAUCGACACCAGCAUCCCCUAUCCAAGGCAAACCUAUAUUUGGCUGGCAAGUCAGCAGCCACUCAGUGGUUGGCGCCCUAGGCAGCUGCCUGUGUCACCUGAAGGAUUGACCAUCCCUGCUUAUGCAUUUCAAUGCUGAAGCAGCAGUUUAUGUGCCUGGCAUCACGGAACAUAAAAAUGAAUACUCAUGGGCUUUAUGUAAUGUGCUUCCCAGUAAAAUAAAUUUGAAGCAGAGUAGUUUGAAAUACUUUGUUAUGGAGCAGAGUAGUUUGAAGUACUUUGUUAUGGAUAUCUGUGUAGAUUUGUUGCAUUGUUAUAGCAGCAUAAAUGUGAAAUUGGCAAACAACACCUUGUAUAGAUAUACAUAUAACAGUAUGUAGCAUGGUGUUUACAGAAUCAUACCUUUGAGAAAAAGGUUCAGAUGAUGUGGCACACUAAUGAAUUAUUUUAUCAAAUAACCUGAAUCUGAUCAUUUAAACAUGUUACAAACUGAGGUAUAAAUAAUUUAUGACAAAUACAGUGGUUCAGCGCUC